ACGGAAUAGAUACCCUGGUAGUCCACGCCCUAAACGAUGUCAACUGGUUGUUGGGAAUUCAUUUUCUCAGUAAACGAAAGCUAAACGCGUGAAGUUGACCGCCUGGGGAGUACGGCCGCAAGGCUAAAACUCAAAGGAAUUGACGGGGACCCGCACAAGCGGUGGAUGAUGUGGUUUAAUUCGAUGCAACGCGAAAAACCUUACCCACCUUUGACAUGUACGGAACUUGCCAGAGAUGGCUUGGUGCCCGAAAGGGAGCCGUAACACAGGUGCUGCAUGGCUGUCGUCAGCUCGUGUCGUGAGAUGUUGGGUUAAGUCCCGCAACGAGCGCAACCCUUGCCAUUAGUUGCUACGAAAGGGCACUCUAAUGGGACUGCCGGUGACAAACCGGAGGAAGGUGGGGAUGACGUCAAGUCCUCAUGGCCCUUAUAGGUGGGGCUACACACGUCAUACAAUGGCUGGUACAGAGGGUUGCCAACCCGCGAGGGGUAGCUAAUCCCACAAAGCCAGUCGUAGUCCGGAUCGCAGUCUGCAACUCGACUACGUGAAGUC
This 552-nucleotide ribosomal RNA is filed under the name uncultured bacterium. Its description in RNAcentral is "bacterial SSU rRNA". It matches the Rfam family "Bacterial small subunit ribosomal RNA", at positions 772 to 1327 of the family's 1533-position model. The record is from RNAcentral.